Molecule: long non-coding RNA, 250 nt
Filed under: Homo sapiens (human)
Lineage: Eukaryota; Metazoa; Chordata; Mammalia; Primates; Hominidae
Description: non-protein coding lnc-VPREB1-11:1
Source: RNAcentral
UUGGUUCAGUUCUCAGGCUGUGGUGACUCAGGAGCCCUCACUGACUGUGUCCUAAAGAGAGAGACUUAUUCUCAUGUGUGGCUUCAGCACCACAGCACUGAAUUCAGCAGAAGCCUGGUCAAGUCCUCAGGACAUUGAUGUGUAACACAGAUAACAAACACCCCUGGAUGCCCACUUGAUUCUCUGGCUCCCUCCUGGGGGAAAGCUGCCCUGACCCCUCAAGGGGCCCAGCCUGAGGAUGAGGCUGAGU